UGAGGAAUAUUGGUCAAUGGGCGCAAGCCUGAACCAGCCAUCCCGCGUGAAGGAUGAAUGCCUUAUGGGUUGUAAACUUCUUUUGUACCUGAAGAAACUCUGGGUCGUGACCUGGACUGCCGGUAGGGUACGAAUAAGCAUCGGCUAACUCCGUGCCAGCAGCCGCGGUAAUACGGAGGAUGCAAGCGUUAUCCGGAUUUAUUGGGUUUAAAGGGUGCGCAGGUGGUUAAAUAAGUCAGUGGUGAAAGUCUGCCGCUUAACGGUAGGAUUGCCAUUGAUACUGUUUAACUUGAGUUUAGGUGAGGUAGGCGGAAUGUGUAGUGUAGCGGUGAAAUGCAUAGAUAUUACACAGAACACCGAUUGCGAAGGCAGCUUACUAAUCUACAACUGACACUGAGGC
RNAcentral lists this ribosomal RNA (400 nucleotides) under uncultured bacterium. RNAcentral describes it as "bacterial SSU rRNA". It matches the Rfam family "Bacterial small subunit ribosomal RNA", at positions 355 to 752 of the family's 1533-position model. The record is from RNAcentral.